This is an unclassified non-coding RNA of Spermophilus dauricus (Daurian ground squirrel), 284 nucleotides long. Its record names the gene 7SK. It matches the Rfam family "7SK RNA". From Rfam's summary of the family: 7SK was discovered as an abundant small nuclear RNA in the mid-70s but a possible function has only recently been suggested. Two independent studies have found that 7SK RNA binds the CDK9/cyclin T complex (known as elongation factor P-TEFb). P-TEFb activates transcription by phosphorylating the C-terminal domain of RNA polymerase II. Lineage: Eukaryota; Metazoa; Chordata; Mammalia; Rodentia; Sciuridae. The record is from Ensembl.
GGAUGUGAGGGCGAUCUGUCUGCGACAUGAACAAAAUAAGAAUAAAUUGAUUGCCAGGGUUGAUUCCACUCAUCUGGCUGGCUAGACAGGUGUCCCCUUCCUCCCUCACUGCUCCAUGUGCUUUCCUCCCUAAGCUGUGUGUUCAGUUGAAGAGGACGACCUUCCCCGAUAGAGGAGAACCAUUCUUCUGUCAAGGGUAUACGAGUAGCCAUGCUCCACUGCUAGAUUUGCCUAUUAUGAACAUUUCAUAUAAAUAGAAUCAUAUAAUGCAUGACUUUUGACUU